GUUACUGAUGUGAGGUAGAGCGACUGAUUGGAUGCGAGGGCUUCACCGCCUAUCAAGUCCUGACAAACUCCGAAUGCCAGUAGUAUGAUUUACAGCAGUGAGUGACUGGGUGCUAAUGUCCAGUCGCAAAAGAGGAACAACUCAGACCAGCAACUAAGGUCCCGAAGAAUAUGCUAAGUUGAUCUAACGAUGUUUUGUUGCAGAGACAGCUAGGAUGUUAGCUUGGAAGCAGCUAUUCAUUCAAAGAGUGCGUAACAGCUCACUAGUCGAGCGACAGAGCGUGGAUAAUAAACGGGCAUCAAGCAUAUCACCGAAGUUCUGGGCGCGAGAGCGCGGUAGGGGAGCAUUCCAUUCAGCGUCGAAGCAGUUUCGUGAGGAAUUGUGGAGCGUAUGGAAAAGCAAAUGUAGGCAUGAGUAACGAUAAUGCGGGAGAGUAACCCGCACACCGCAAGACCAAGGUUUCCUGAUCAACGCUAAUCGGAUCAGGGUUAGUCGGGUCCUAAGGGUAAGCCGAACGGCGAUCUCGAUGGAUAAUCGGUUAAUAUUCCGAUACUAACAUAUACCUCGAUGGAGAGACGAAGGAACGUAAGUGCCGCCACCUGACGGAAUAGGUGGUUAAAGGGCGUAGGUAUAGGGGCAGAUUAAGAGUUAGUCCUUGCUGAAACCUGACAGUACAGAGAGCCUACGGGCAAUUUGAUAGAGCACCCAAGUCGACUUCCGAGAAAAUCUUCUAAGUUAUAGUAUAUGUUACCCGUACCGUAAACCGACACAGGUGGUCGAGGAGAGUAUCCUAAGGUGCUCGAGUGAAUCACGGUUAAGGAACUAGGCAAAUUAACCCCGUAACUUCGGGAAAAGGGGUCCCUAUGAAAGUAGGGCGCAGCGAAGAGGUCCAGGCGACUGUUUAUCAAAAACACAGGGCUCUGCAAAUUCGAAAGAAGACGUAUAGGGCCUGACACCUGCCCGGUGCUGGAAGGUUAAGAGGGGAUGUCAUCGCAAGAGAAGCAUUGAAUCGAAGCCCCAGUAAACGGCGGCCGUAACUAUAACGGUCCUAAGGUAGCGAAAUUCCUUGUCGGGUAAGUUCCGACCUGCACGAAUGGUGUAACGAUCUGGACACUGUCUCAACCGUGAGCUCGGUGAAAUUGUAGUCCCGGUGAUGAUGCCGGGUACCCGCAACGGGACGAAAAGACCCCGUGAACCUUUACUAUAGCUUAACGCUGAAUUUGGGUACACAAUGUGUAGGAUAGGCCGGAGGCUUUGAAGCGGGCACGCCAGUGUUCGUGGAGCCGACGUUGAAAUACGGCCCUUUGUGUAUUUGAGUUCUAACCCUGCGAAGGGGACACCGUUUGGUGGGUAGUUUGACUGGGGUGGUCGCCUCCAAAAGCGUAACGGAGGCUUCCCAAGGUACCCUCAGCACGAAUGGUAACCGUGCGCGGAGUGCAAUAGCAUAAGGGUGCUUGACUGUGAGACAUACAAGUCGACCAGGUACGAAAGUAGGGUAUAGUGAUCCGGUGGUUCUGCGUGGACUGGCCAUCGCUCAAAGGAUAAAAGGUACUCCGGGGAUAACAGGCUGAUCGCCGCCAAGAGCUCAUAUCGACGCGGCGGUUUGGCACCUCGAUGUCGGCUCGUCACAUCCUGGGGCUGGAGAAGGUCCCAAGGGUUCGGCUGUUCGCCGAUUAAAGUGGCACGCGAGCUGGGUUCAGAACGUCGUGAGACAGUUCGGUCUCUAUCUGUUGCGGGCGUAGGAAGAUUGAGGGGUCCUGACUUUAGUACGAGAGGACCGAGUUGGACGAACCUCCGGUGUAUCGGUUAUGCUGCCAAGUGUACUGCCGAGUAGCCGCGUUCGGUCUGGAUAAGCGCUGAAAGCAUCUAAGCGCGAAGCCAUCCCCAAGAUAAGUCUUCCCUUGAGGGGCGUAGGAGACUACUACGUUGAUAGGCUGCAGGUGUAAAGACAGCAAUGUCAAAGCCGAGCAGUACUAAUUACCCGAUAGGCUUUCUUUUU
This 1999-nucleotide ribosomal RNA is filed under the name human gut metagenome. RNAcentral describes it as "bacterial LSU rRNA". It matches the Rfam family "Bacterial large subunit ribosomal RNA", at positions 889 to 2925 of the family's 2925-position model. The record is from RNAcentral.